GACGAACGCUGGCGGCGUGCUUAACACAUGCAAGUCGAACGGAAAGGCCCUGCUUUUGUGGGGUGCUCGAGUGGCGAACGGGUGAGUAACACGUGAGUAACCUGCCCUUGACUUUGGGAUAACUUCAGGAAACUGGGGUCAAUACCGGAUAGGAGCUCCUGCUGCAUGGUGGGGGUUGGAAAGUUUCGGCGGUUGGGGAUGGACUCGCGGCUUAUCAGCUUGUUGGUGGGGUAGUGGCUUACCAAGGCUUUGACGGGUAGCCGGCCUGAGAGGGUGACCGGCCACAUUGGGACUGAGAUACGGCCCAGACUCCUACGGGAGGCAGCAGUGGGGAAUAUUGCACAAUGGGCGGAAGCCUGAUGCAGCAACGCCGCGUGCGGGAUGACGGCCUUCGGGUUGUAAACCGCUUUCGCCUGUGACGAAGCGUGAGUGACGGUAAUGGGUAAAGAAGCACCGGCUAACUACGUG
RNAcentral lists this ribosomal RNA (468 nucleotides) under uncultured bacterium. RNAcentral describes it as "partial 16S ribosomal RNA". It matches the Rfam family "Bacterial small subunit ribosomal RNA", at positions 28 to 507 of the family's 1533-position model. The record is from RNAcentral.